AGGAAGAAAGGAAGAAAGGAAGAAAGGCAAAAAAAAGAAAACAAAGAAAAAAGAAAGGAGGAUGAUUCUGUACAAGUCACUGUGCAUUCUAGCCUCUAAGGAUUUAGCUGAUAGGACUUUAGCUGUUAAGCAAAAUCAUGUAGCAAUGUAUAACACGAUAAGUUUAUAUUACAUAAUAAAAUCUGUCGAUAAAGAUUCAUUCGAACAAUAUUUUUCACUUGUGACGUAUUCGUAUAAUCAAUAAAAUAGCUAUAUUGUUUCAGGAAUACUGGCCAGUGUCGAGUUCUUUCACCCGGUCAUUCUUCGCUAUCCCUGUAUGCGACCUAUACAUAUUACCUAAUACUUGAUACGGAUAUCCAGACGUUAGUAUUAAUGUUCAUUAAAAGAAAAAGAAAAAGAAAAAGAAAAAGAAAAAGAAAAAAAAAAUCAAACGAAAACUAAAGGAUAAGAUUUGGAGAUUCUCGUUAACGAUUUGAUCCUUGGACCGACAAUAUUAAUAAUCGUCCCAACGGAGCAGUUCGGAGCGGUAUGUGGAGCCGAGUGGACCGUUAUCGCAAACUCGCGACUCCAACUCCAACCAUGGAAAUAUGAUCCUGGAAAAACUUACCACCAACUUGCUGAUAACGCAAGGUCCCACCGCUAAUUGCCAUCGUAAUUAACGCGAGCCACCGUCGUAAAUGGCUGUUCUUGGAAAUGAACGUUCCUGAUGGACCACCGUAGACAAACAGAGUGUCGAUUAACUGAAUUCCAGGCUGCGAGUGAUUACGUAAACAAACUUUCAUUCCAGUAAUUGUAGCGG
Long non-coding RNA from Osmia bicornis bicornis, 799 nucleotides. RefSeq lists it as uncharacterized. Lineage: Eukaryota; Metazoa; Arthropoda; Insecta; Hymenoptera; Megachilidae. The record is from RefSeq and is a predicted model, not a curated record. The transcript has 3 exons.